RNAcentral lists this ribosomal RNA (531 nucleotides) under Aspergillus pseudodeflectus. Its description in RNAcentral is "eukaryotic LSU rRNA". The stretch from base 162 to 315 matches the Rfam family "5.8S ribosomal RNA". Lineage: Eukaryota; Fungi; Ascomycota; Eurotiomycetes; Eurotiales; Aspergillaceae. The record is from RNAcentral.
CAUUACCGAGUGCAGGUCUGCCCCCGGGCAGGCCUAACCUCCCACCCGUGAAUACCUGACCAACGUUGCUUCGGCGGUGCGCCCCCCCGGGGGUAGCCGCCGGAGACCACACCGAACCUCCUGUCUUUAGUGUUGUCUGAGCUUGAUAGCAAACCUAUUAAAACUUUCAACAAUGGAUCUCUUGGUUCCGGCAUCGAUGAAGAACGCAGCGAACUGCGAUAAGUAAUGUGAAUUGCAGAAUUCAGUGAAUCAUCGAGUCUUUGAACGCACAUUGCGCCCCCUGGCAUUCCGGGGGGCAUGCCUGUCCGAGCGUCAUUGCUGCCCUUCAAGCCCGGCUUGUGUGUUGGGUCGUCGUCCCCCCCGGGGGACGGGCCCGAAAGGCAGCGGCGGCACCGCGUCCGGUCCUCGAGCGUAUGGGGCUUUGUCACCCGCUCGAUUAGGGCCGGCCGGGCGCCAGCCGGCGUCUCCAACCUUCUAUUUUACCAGGUUGACCUCGGAUCAGGUAGGGAUACCCGCUGAACUUAAGCAUAU